CUACGGGCGGCAGCAGUGGGGAAUAUUGGACAAUGGGGGGAACCCUGAUCCAGCCAUGCCGCGUGUGUGAAGAAGGCCCUCGGGUUGUAAAGCACUUUCAGUGAGGAAGAACGCCUGGUGGUUAAUACCCAUCAGGAAAGACAUCACUCACAGAAGAAGCACCGGCUAACUCCGUGCCAGCAGCCGCGGUAAUACGGAGGGUGCGAGCGUUAAUCGGAAUUACUGGGCGUAAAGCGCGCGUAGGUGGCUUGAUAAGCCGGUUGUGAAAGCCCCGGGCUCAACCUGGGAACGGCAUCCGGAACUGUCAAGCUAGAGUGCAGGAGAGGAAGGUAGAAUUCCCGGUGUAGCGGUGAAAUGCGUAGAGAUCGGGAGGAAUACCAGUGGCGAAGGCGGCCUUCUGGACUGACACUGACACUGAGGUGCGAAAGCGUGGGUAGCAAACAGGAUUAGAUACCCUUGUAGUC
RNAcentral lists this ribosomal RNA (464 nucleotides) under Vreelandella stevensii. RNAcentral's name for it is "partial 16S ribosomal RNA". It matches the Rfam family "Bacterial small subunit ribosomal RNA", at positions 339 to 795 of the family's 1533-position model. Lineage: Bacteria; Pseudomonadati; Pseudomonadota; Gammaproteobacteria; Oceanospirillales; Halomonadaceae. The record is from RNAcentral.